GAUGAACGCUAGCGGCGUGCCUAAUACAUGCAAGUCGAGCGAACAGACGAGGAGCUUGCUCCUCUGACGUUAGCGGCGGACGGGUGAGUAACACGUGGAUAACCUACCUAUAAGACUGGGAUAACUUCGGGAAACCGGAGCUAAUACCGGAUAAUAUAUUGAACCGCAUGGUUCAAUAGUGAAAGACGGUUUUGCUGUCACUUAUAGAUGGAUCCGCGCCGCAUUAGCUAGUUGGUAAGGUAACGGCUUACCAAGGCAACGAUGCGUAGCCGACCUGAGAGGGUGAUCGGCCAAACUGGAACUGAGACACGGUCCAGACUCCUACGGGAGGCAGCAGUAGGGAAUCUUCCGCAAUGGGCGAAAGCUUGACGGAGCAACGCCGCGUGAGUGAUGAAGGUCUUCGGAUCGUAAAACUCUGUUAUUAGGGAAGAACAAAUGUGUAAGUAACUAUGCACGUCUUGACGGUACCUAAUCAGAAAGCCACGGCUAACUACGUG
Molecule: ribosomal RNA, 497 nt
Filed under: uncultured bacterium
Lineage: Bacteria
Description: partial 16S ribosomal RNA
Rfam family: Bacterial small subunit ribosomal RNA
Source: RNAcentral